This 253-nucleotide ribosomal RNA is filed under the name uncultured bacterium. RNAcentral's name for it is "partial 16S ribosomal RNA". It matches the Rfam family "Bacterial small subunit ribosomal RNA", at positions 524 to 776 of the family's 1533-position model. The record is from RNAcentral.
GACGGGGGAUGCAAGCGUAAUCCGGAAUCACUGGGCGUAAAGCGUCCGUAGGCGGUGAUGCAAGUCACUGGUGCAAAACUCUGGCUCAACCGGAGGAAAGCCAGUGAAACUGCAUGACUAGAGUGUGGGAGAGGUAGAAGGAAUUCCCUGAGUAGCGGUGAAAUGCGUAGAUACAGGGAAGAACACCGGAGGCGAAAGCGUUCUACUGGAACACAACUGACACGGAGUGACGAAAGCUAGGGGAGCGAAGGGG